This 1492-nucleotide ribosomal RNA is filed under the name human gut metagenome. Its description in RNAcentral is "bacterial LSU rRNA". It matches the Rfam family "Bacterial large subunit ribosomal RNA", at positions 1036 to 2539 of the family's 2925-position model. The record is from RNAcentral.
CAGCUAAGGUCCCAAAGUGUAAGUUAAGUGGAAAAGGAUGUGGGAUUUCUAAGACAACUAGGAUGUUGGCUUAGAAGCAGCCACUCAUUUAAAGAGUGCGUAAUAGCUCACUAGUCGAGAGAUCCUGCGCCGAAAAUGUACCGGGGCUAAACUUACCACCGAAGCUACGGAUUUGCAAGUAAUUGCAAGUGGUAGGGGAGCGUCGUAAUCGGGCUGAAGUCGUACCGGAAGGAGCGGUGGACUGAUUACGAGUGAGAAUGUUGGCAUUAGUAGCGAGAUGUAGGUGAGAAUCCUACAGGCCGAAUAUCUAAGGUUUCCUCAGGAAGGCUCGUCCGCUGAGGGUUAGUCGGGACCUAAGCCGAGGCCGAAAGGCGUAGGCGAUGGACAAUCGGUUGAUAUUCCGAUACCACUACCAUCGUUAUUAUCGAGGGUGUGACGGAGAAGGAUAGUGUGUGCUAGCGAUUGGAAAUGCUAGUCUAAGCGUUUAGGGAGUUACAGUAGGCAAAUCCGCUGUAACAAUUCUGAGGCGUGAUGGGGAAGGUCAUUAAGACCGAAGUACAUGAUUCCAUGCUUCCAAGAAAAGCAUCUAGAGAGAGAAGUAGUGCCCGUACCGCAAACCGACACAGGUAGAUGAGGAGAGAAUCCUAAGGCCGGCGGAAGAAUUGCAGUUAAGGAACUAGGCAAAUUGACCCCGUAAGUUCGCGAGAAGGGGUGCCUGCGAGAGCAGGCCGCAGAGAAUAGGCCCAAGCAACUGUUUAGCAAAAACACAGGUCUCUGCUAAAGCGUAAGCUGAUGUAUAGGGGCUGACGCCUGCCCGGUGCUGGAAGGUUAAGGGGAACACUUAGCGCAAGCGAAGGUGUGAACUUAAGCCCCAGUAAACGGCGGCCGUAACUAUAACGGUCCUAAGGUAGCGAAAUUCCUUGUCAGGUAAGUUCUGACCCGCACGAAUGGCGUAAUGACUUGGGCACUGUCUCAACUGCAAAUCCGGCGAAGUUGUAGUGCGAGUGAAGAUGCUCGCUACCCGCGAUUGGACGGAAAGACCCCGUAGAGCUUUACUGUAGCUUAGCAUUGAAUUCCGGUAUUGUCUGUACAGGAUAGGUGGGAGACUGGGAAACUAGGGCGUCAGCCUUAGUGGAGUCAACCUUGGGAUACCACCCUGACAGUACUGGGGUUCUAACAGGACGCCAUGAAGCUGGUGACUGGACAUUGUUAGGUGGGCAGUUUGACUGGGGCGGUCGCCUCCUAAAAAGUAACGGAGGCGCCCAAAGGUUCCCUCAGAACGGUCGGAAAUCGUUCGUAGAGUGCAAAGGCAGAAGGGAGCCUGACUGCGAGACCCACAAGUCGAGCAGGGACGAAAGUCGGGCUUAGUGAUCCGGUGGUACCUCGUGGGAGGGCCAUCGCUCAACGGAUAAAAGCUACCUCGGGGAUAACAGGCUGAUCUCCCCCAAGAGUUCACAUCGACGGGGAGGUUUGGCACCUCGAUGUCGGCUCA